AAUUUUGGACAAUGGGGGAAACCCUGAUCCAGCCAUCCCGCGUGUAUGAUGAAGGCCUUAGGGUUGUAAAGUACUUUUGGCAGAGAAGAAAAUGUACCUCCUAAUACGAGGUACUGCUGACGGUAUCUGCAGAACAAGCACCUGCUAACUACGUGCCAGCAGCCGCGGUAAUACGUAGGGUGCAAGCGUUAAUCGGAAUUCCUUGGCGUAAAGCGUGUGUAGGCGGUUCGGAAAGAAAGAUGUGAAAUCCCAGGGCUCAACCUUGGAACUGCAUUUUUAACUGCCGAGCUAGAGUAUGUCAGAAGGGGGUAGAAUUCCACGUGUAGCAGUGAAAUGCGUAGAUAUGUAGAGGAAUACCGAUGGCGAAGGCAGCCCCCUGGGAUAAUACUGACGCUCAGACACGAAAGCGUGGGGAGCAAACAG
Molecule: ribosomal RNA, 423 nt
Filed under: uncultured bacterium
Lineage: Bacteria
Description: partial 16S ribosomal RNA
Rfam family: Bacterial small subunit ribosomal RNA
Source: RNAcentral